GACGUAGGGGGCCAGCGUUGUUCGGAAUUACUGGGUGUAAAGGGUGCGUAGGUGGCGUGGUAAGUCGGGUGUGAAAUUUCGGAGCUUAACUCCGAAACUGCAUUCGAUACUGCUGUGCUUGAGGACUGGAGAGGAGACUGGAAUUUACGGUGUAGCAGUGAAAUGCGUAGAGAUCGUAAGGAAGACCAGUGGCGAAGGCGGGUCUCUGGACGGUUCCUGACACUGAGGCACGAAGGCCAGGGGAGCAAACGGG
This 253-nucleotide ribosomal RNA is filed under the name uncultured prokaryote. RNAcentral's name for it is "partial 16S ribosomal RNA". It matches the Rfam family "Bacterial small subunit ribosomal RNA", at positions 524 to 776 of the family's 1533-position model. The record is from RNAcentral.